This is a long non-coding RNA of Mus musculus (house mouse), 597 nucleotides long. RefSeq annotates it as predicted gene 13547. The record is from RefSeq and is marked validated. NCBI's taxonomy places the organism in Eukaryota, Metazoa, Chordata, Mammalia, Rodentia, Muridae. The transcript is spliced from 4 exons.
AGAGAUGGCUUCCUCUGGCCAUGAUGUUAGUACUUCUUUCGUGAUUCUCAUUCCCCGAGAGACAUCUGCCAGACGAAGGAAACAGGCCUCAGCCCUGCUGAAGGAGGAGACCCGAGUGAGGGCCACAUCCUGCUGGAGUUGGGUAUGGGGAGAGGAACGGAGAGAGGCAAAUGAAGACAAUCAGUUAGAGCCGAAUGGCUUUGCAGUCAUCAAAGCUGACCCUGGCCAGGUGUUCUGGUCUGCUCAGGUGCCCACGGAUGGCACUGCUCCUGCACCGCCAACCACUGAUGACACUAUGUUUCUUGGUGUCGUUCCCUGCCCAGAUGCUGAUCUCAUUAGUCGGGUAUCACUUCAGAGCCAUGAUGCUGGCAAUUGCUCUAACCUCAUGGAGGAGACCAAGACUUUCUCAUCGACUGAGAGUCUGCAACAACUUUCUCAACAGCUCAAUGGCCUUGUGUCUGAGAUACCACAGGACUGGGACCCAGAAAGAAGGUAGAGAGGAAAGGAAAGUAUGUUAGAAAAUGAGGUGGGAUUCUCAAGAGACUAAUUCAUGAGAGGCUCUUGUCAUACUGGAGAAGACUUGGAUUUGGACCACAA